UACGGAGGGUGCAAGCGUUAUCCGGAUUCACUGGGUUUAAAGGGUGCGUAGGUGGGUUGGUAAGUCCGUGGUGAAAUCCCCAAGCUUAACUUGGGAACUGCCGUGGAUACUAUCAAUCUUGAAUAUCGUGGAGGUAAGCGGAAUAUGUCAUGUAGCGGUGAAAUGCUUAGAUAUGACAUAGAACACCAAUUGCGUAGGCAGCUUACUACACGAUCAUUGACGCUGAGGCACGAAAGCGUGGGGAGCAAACAGG
Molecule: ribosomal RNA, 253 nt
Filed under: uncultured bacterium
Lineage: Bacteria
Description: partial 16S ribosomal RNA
Rfam family: Bacterial small subunit ribosomal RNA
Source: RNAcentral